CAGUCGCCGCGGUAAGACAGAGGAUGCAAGCGUUAAUCGGAUUUACUGGGCGUAAAGCGUGCGUAGGCGGCUUCUUAAGUCGGAUGUGAAAUCCCUGAGCUUAACUUAGGAAUUGCAUUCGAUACUGGGAAGCUAGAGUAUGGGAGAGGAUGGUAGAAUUCCAGGUGUAGCGGUGAAAUGCGUAGAGAUCUGGAGGAAUACCGAUGGCGAAGGCAGCCAUCUGGCCUAAUACUGACGCUGAGGUACGAAAGCAUGGGGAGCAAACAGGAUUAGAUACCCCCGUAGUCCCUGUCUCUUAUAC
Molecule: ribosomal RNA, 301 nt
Filed under: uncultured bacterium
Lineage: Bacteria
Description: partial 16S ribosomal RNA
Rfam family: Bacterial small subunit ribosomal RNA
Source: RNAcentral